Non-coding RNA from Beta vulgaris subsp. vulgaris (sugar beet), 107 nucleotides. The record is from Rfam. NCBI's taxonomy places the organism in Eukaryota, Viridiplantae, Streptophyta, Magnoliopsida, Caryophyllales, Amaranthaceae.
AGAUUAUGGUGUGGGCAUUCUCUCUACAGGUCUCUGAACCUUUUCCAUGCUUCCUUCAAUGUCUCAUCAGGUUCUUGUGGGAAGGUAGCAAGCUUGUGUCUGAUUUC